CCUACGGGGGGCAGCAGUGGGGAAUAUUGCACAAUGGGGGAAACCCUGAUGCAGCGACGCCGCGUGAGUGAAGAAGUAAUUCGUUAUGUAAAGCUCUAUCAGCAGGGAAGAAAAUGACGGUACCUGAGUAAGAAGCCCCGGCUAACUACGUGCCAGCAGCCGCGGUAAUACGUAGGUGGCGAGCGUUAUCCGGAAUGAUUGGGCGUAAAGGGUGCGCAGGCGGUCCUGCAAGUCUGGAGUGAAACGCAUGAGCUCAACUCAUGCAUGGCUUUGGAAACUGGAGGACUGGAGAGCAGGAGAGGGCG
RNAcentral lists this ribosomal RNA (305 nucleotides) under uncultured bacterium. Its description in RNAcentral is "bacterial SSU rRNA". It matches the Rfam family "Bacterial small subunit ribosomal RNA", at positions 338 to 660 of the family's 1533-position model. The record is from RNAcentral.